AAACUGUCGCUCAACCUUUCCUUGUAAAAUACAGGUAUAAGGAUAUGAUGAGAGAAUGGCCCCCACUAAACCGAGUAGCUUAGGAUGGGUCACUUCGAGAGAAUGUUGAUCGACUUUUUGAGAUGCUGGAGAGACUCAUCUCUGCUCAGUAGGCCCGGGAGGAAAGGAGGGAGCUACUUGACCUUUUUCGGUUUUCAUAGUUUGAGCCAUCCUUAUAGCAGAAAGAUUUGGAGCCACCCUGGUACAACCCUGCUCCUUCACUAUAUCAUCCAGCACCGCCACAGUAUAAUCUGGUGCCCCCACCAUACAACCAGGUGCUGUCACAAGACCACUCGGCACCUCCCCAACACAAUCUAAUCCUUCUUCCGCGGGAUCUGGUUCCACCCAUGAUGAACCCAA
This 399-nucleotide long non-coding RNA is filed under the name Carica papaya (papaya). RNAcentral's name for it is "long non-coding RNA (CPAP_LNC000925)". Lineage: Eukaryota; Viridiplantae; Streptophyta; Magnoliopsida; Brassicales; Caricaceae. The record is from RNAcentral.